UACGUAGGGGGCAAGCGUUGUCCGGAUUUAUUGGGCGUAAAGAGCGUGUAGGCGGCCAUACAGGUCCGUUGUGAAAACUGGAGGCUUAACCUCCAGACGUCGAUGGAAACCGUAUGGCUAGAGUCCGGAAGAGGAGAGUGGAAUUCCUGGUGUAGCGGUGAAAUGCGCAGAUAUCAGGAAGAACACCCGUGGCGAAGGCGGCUCUCUAGGACGGUACUGACGCUGAGACGCGAAAGCGUGGGGAGCGAACAGG
RNAcentral lists this ribosomal RNA (253 nucleotides) under uncultured bacterium. Its description in RNAcentral is "partial 16S ribosomal RNA". It matches the Rfam family "Bacterial small subunit ribosomal RNA", at positions 524 to 776 of the family's 1533-position model. The record is from RNAcentral.